Molecule: ribosomal RNA, 476 nt
Filed under: Escherichia coli
Lineage: Bacteria; Pseudomonadati; Pseudomonadota; Gammaproteobacteria; Enterobacterales; Enterobacteriaceae
Description: bacterial SSU rRNA
Rfam family: Bacterial small subunit ribosomal RNA
Source: RNAcentral
AUUGAACGCUGGCGGCAGGCCUAACACAUGCAAGUCGAACGGUAACAGGAAGCAGCUUGCUGCUUUGCUGACGAGUGGCGGACGGGUGAGUAAUGUCUGGGAAACUGCCUGAUGGAGGGGGAUAACUACUGGAAACGGUAGCUAAUACCGCAUAACGUCGCAAGACCAAAGAGGGGGACCUUCGGGCCUCUUGCCAUCGGAUGUGCCCAGAUGGGAUUAGCUAGUAGGUGGGGUAACGGCUCACCUAGGCGACGAUCCCUAGCUGGUCUGAGAGGAUGACCAGCCACACUGGAACUGAGACACGGUCCAGACUCCUACGGGAGGCAGCAGUGGGGAAUAUUGCACAAUGGGCGCAAGCCUGAUGCAGCCAUGCCGCGUGUAUGAAGAAGGCCUUCGGGUUGUAAAGUACUUUCAGCGGGGAGGAAGGGAGUAAAGUUAAUACCUUUGCUCAUUGACUUACCCGCAGAAGAGCACCG